AUUUCAUUGACACCAGUGGGCGUGUUGUAACACAACAACAUGAGAUUCUUAAUCUCAGGGUUGUGGGUUCAAACCCCACAUGGGGUA
This is a non-coding RNA of Podarcis lilfordi (Lilford's wall lizard), 87 nucleotides long. The record is from the annotation of a GenBank genome assembly. Lineage: Eukaryota; Metazoa; Chordata; Lepidosauria; Squamata; Lacertidae.